Molecule: ribosomal RNA, 494 nt
Filed under: uncultured bacterium
Lineage: Bacteria
Description: partial 16S ribosomal RNA
Rfam family: Bacterial small subunit ribosomal RNA
Source: RNAcentral
GACGAACGCUGGCGGCGUGCUUAACACAUGCAAGUCGAGCGAUGAAAGCCUUAUGAACUAUUCGUAGUGAUGGGGGCCGGAUUAGCGGCGGACGGGUGAGUAACGCGUGAGCAACCUGCCUUAAACAACGGGAUAGCCUCGGGAAACCGGGAUUAAUCACGUAUGAGACCCCGCCUUCACAUGAAGAAGAGGUUAAAGAUUUAUCGGUUUAAGAUGGGCUCGCGUCUGAUUAGCUAGUUGGUGAGAUAACAGCCCAACAAGGCAACGAUCAGGACCCGGCUUGAGGGAGUGAACGGUCACAUGGGAACUGAGACACGGUCCAAACUCCUACGGGAGGCAGCAGUGGGGAAUAUUGCACAAUGGGGGAAACCCUGAUGCAGCGACGCCGCGUGAGCGAUGAAGGAAUUCGUUUCGUAAAGCUCUGUCCAAGGGGAAGAUAAUGACAGUACCCUUGGAGGAAGCCCCGGCUAAAUACGUGCCAGCCGCCGCGGUAA